Non-coding RNA from Ictidomys tridecemlineatus (thirteen-lined ground squirrel), 102 nucleotides. The record is from Rfam. Lineage: Eukaryota; Metazoa; Chordata; Mammalia; Rodentia; Sciuridae.
AUAAAAUAGGCUCUGUGUUUGCUUUCUCAGCACAUACAGAGAAAAUUAGCAAGGUCCCUGUGCAAGGAUGACACACAACUUUGUGAAACAUUCCAGAAUUUU